Molecule: long non-coding RNA, 467 nt
Filed under: Eucalyptus grandis
Lineage: Eukaryota; Viridiplantae; Streptophyta; Magnoliopsida; Myrtales; Myrtaceae
Description: long non-coding RNA (EGRA_LNC002034)
Source: RNAcentral
CCCGAUUGAAUUUCGAUCUCAAUUUAAACCCACAUAACAACUUCUUUCCAAUUUGACAUUCCAAUUGAGAGAACGCCAAUCAUAAGCCGAUUAUCCAACCAAGAAAGUCCUUCACCGAUCUCACGGGUGGGUUAACUGUCUCAUCUAAAGCGUACGUAAAUCACUUAAAAGAUCCAGAAUUUUUCCUCCUAACUCCUUUUGGAUUUUCCACACGCUCCACGAGAGUCCCUCUUUUGCGUGCAAACUGAUCGUCAAGAACCGGUGCCAACGAUCGGAUAACGUAGCUAAUCGGGAAGCCAUCAUGUGUCCCAACCUGAUUCGCAACGUUGUCACAUUUCGAAUGGCGAUGAAGGAGACAUCAUGCGACGCAGCCGCAGCUCCUUUUGGAGAACCAUCGGACGUGAAUCGUCCCUUGUGUGUCAAGCUCAUCCUCUUGCACGCAUUGGUCUCCGUUGUCGAAAGAUAAG